UACGUAGGUGGCAAGCGUUGUCCGGAUUUACUGGGCGUAAAGAGCGCGCAGGCGGUCGUGCAAGUCGCGUGUGAAAGCCCCCGGCUCAACUGGGGAGGGUCACGCGACACGGCUCGACUCGAAGGCAGGAGAGGGAAGUGGAAUUCCCGGUGUAGUGGUGAAAUGCGUAGAUAUCAGGAGGAACACCGGCGGCGAAGGCGGCCCUCUGGCUCGUUGCUGACGCUGAAACGCGAAAGCGUGGGGAGCAAACAGG
Molecule: ribosomal RNA, 253 nt
Filed under: uncultured bacterium
Lineage: Bacteria
Description: partial 16S ribosomal RNA
Rfam family: Bacterial small subunit ribosomal RNA
Source: RNAcentral